RNAcentral lists this ribosomal RNA (486 nucleotides) under uncultured bacterium. Its description in RNAcentral is "bacterial SSU rRNA". It matches the Rfam family "Bacterial small subunit ribosomal RNA", at positions 32 to 526 of the family's 1533-position model. The record is from RNAcentral.
AAUCAACGCUGGCGGCGUGCCUCAGACAUGCAAGUCGAACGAUUAAGGCUUCUUUCGGGAAGUGUAUAAAGUGGCGCACGGGUGAGUAACACGUAGGUAAUGUACCGUAGGGUGGGGAAUAACUUAGGGAAACUUAAGCUAAUACCGCAUAAUGCAGCGGCUCGACAUCGAGACAGUUGUUAAAGGAGUAAUCCGCCUUAUGAGCAGCCUGCGGCAGAUUAGCUUGUUGGUAAGGUAAUGGCUUACCAAGGCUACGAUCUGUAACCGACCUGAGAGGGUGGUCGGUCACACUGACACUGAAUAACGGGUCAGACUCCUACGGGAGGCAGCAGUCGGGAAUUUUGGGCAAUGGGCGAAAGCCUGACCCAGCAACGCCGCGUGAAGGAUGAAGUAUUUCGGUAUGUAAACUUCGUAAGAAUAGGAAGAAUAAAUGACGGUACUAUUUGUAAGGUCCGGCUAACUACGUGCCAGCCGCCGCCGUAACAC